UACAGAGGAGCCAAGCGUUGUCCGGAUUGACUGGGCGUAAAGCGCACGCAGGCGGUCGGGCGCGUGGGGUGUGAAAUCUGGCCGCUUAACGGCCAGGCGCCAUCCCAUACGGCGUGUCUGGAGUGAUGCAGAGGUCGAUGGAAUUGCCGGUGUAGUGGUGAAAUGCGUAGAUAUCGAGAGGAACACCUGCGGCGAAGGCGGGUUGCUGGGCUGACACUGACGCUGAGGCGCGAAAGCUAGGGGAGCGAACGGG
Molecule: ribosomal RNA, 253 nt
Filed under: uncultured bacterium
Lineage: Bacteria
Description: partial 16S ribosomal RNA
Rfam family: Bacterial small subunit ribosomal RNA
Source: RNAcentral